AAUUACUUACAGCCAUUUAUUUUUCAGAUAAAUAGCUUCUUAACCCCAAUUUCCAUUUUUUUAGACCUCAAAUCAGGUGGGACUACCCGCUGAACUUAA
RNAcentral lists this ribosomal RNA (99 nucleotides) under Cronartium flaccidum. RNAcentral describes it as "partial 28S ribosomal RNA". The record is from RNAcentral. Lineage: Eukaryota; Fungi; Basidiomycota; Pucciniomycetes; Pucciniales; Coleosporiaceae.